GACGAACGCUGGCGGCGUGCUUAACACAUGCAAGUCGAACGGUAAGGCCCUUCGGGGUACACGAGUGGCGAACGGGUGAGUAACACGUGGGUGAUCUGCCCUGCACUUCGGGAUAAGCCUGGGAAACUGGGUCUAAUACCGGAUAGGACCACUGCCUGCAUGGGUGGUGGUGGAAAGCUUUUGCGGUGUGGGAUGGGCCCGCGGCCUAUCAGCUUGUUGGUGGGGUGAUGGCCUACCAAGGCGACGACGGGUAGCCGGCCUGAGAGGGUGACCGGCCACACUGGGACUGAGCUACGGCCCAGACUCCGACGGGAGGCAGCAGUGGGGAAUAUUGCACAAUGGGCGCAAGCCUGAUGCAGCGACGCCGCGUGGGGGAUGACGGCCUUCGGGUUGUAAACCUCUUUCAGCACCGACGAAGCGCAAGUGACGGUAGGUGCAGAAGAAGGACCGGCCAACUACGUGCCAGCCGCCGCCGUAA
This 478-nucleotide ribosomal RNA is filed under the name uncultured bacterium. RNAcentral describes it as "partial 16S ribosomal RNA". It matches the Rfam family "Bacterial small subunit ribosomal RNA", at positions 28 to 523 of the family's 1533-position model. The record is from RNAcentral.